Molecule: long non-coding RNA, 768 nt
Filed under: Homo sapiens (human)
Lineage: Eukaryota; Metazoa; Chordata; Mammalia; Primates; Hominidae
Description: HSALNT0271035
Source: RNAcentral
GGAAGCUUAACUCAAGAGUGUUCGGUGGCCUGUCACAUACAUUUAUGUUUAAAAUUAAAGAUGGCCAAUUUUCCUUUAAGGCUGUUCCAAUUCCACACCACUUCUCGAAAUAACUGGAGCUGUCCAGGAUGGGCUGGGAAUAUCCCAUCUACGUUGUCUGCCUUACUGGAGGCUUCGCAUUCUCUCAGAGACACUUUGCUCAUGUACACCAUUUGGCAAGAAAGAGUCAUUGGCAUGUCCUUGGAUGACCCCUUGUCUAAGUGGACUUUUUGGAUGGUACUGUUGAUCAAUGGGGGCUUUGUAAGCGGGCAGGCCCCACUGCUGCCCUGAAGAUCUCUUCUGCACCCUGCAAAUGACACUAACAUUAUGAAAAAUUUCUCCAAAGACAGAUAUUUUCAAUUAGCCAAAUUACUCUAACAGUAAUUUAAAUCAGGAAGAUUUAAGGCAGAGCUAGUUCCUAUGCCAGCCAAGAAGACUGCUCUGCCAGUUGAAAGGCAAGCACAUCCUUCCCUGCCAACUUGCAAUGAGAUGGUUCUUGCAGUGACAGCAGAUCUACCAUGCACGUUUGAUUUAAAUCCCUCCAUUACCAUACCUUUGUAAUUAUCAUCAGGCAAUGAUGAGUCCUGGGGAAAGUAUGGAUCUUAAAUUCGAGGAUCCAGAAGCCUAAUCGAAAUGCAGCACAUGAAAUGAAUCUUUCUUCUUGGUAUAUCUCCUCUUUUCAACCAAUUGGUCUUGAUUUAAGUAAAAUUGUAGCAAAACCCUGUGCCA